RNAcentral lists this ribosomal RNA (200 nucleotides) under uncultured Glomus. Its description in RNAcentral is "partial small subunit ribosomal RNA". It matches the Rfam family "Eukaryotic small subunit ribosomal RNA", at positions 591 to 795 of the family's 1831-position model. Lineage: Eukaryota; Fungi; Glomeromycota; Glomeromycetes; Glomerales; Glomeraceae. The record is from RNAcentral.
CCAAUAGCGUAUAUUAAAGUUGUUGCAGUUAAAAAGCUCGUAGUUGAAUUUCGGGAUCAAUAUUUCGGUCAUGCCGUUGGUAUGCACUGUUAUCAUUGAUUUCUCACCUUCUAAAGAACCGUAAUGCCAUUAAUUUGGUGUUACGGGAAAUUAGGAAUGUUACCUUGAAAAAAUUAGAGUGUUUAAAGCAGGCUCACGCU